UUCCGGUUGAUCCUGCCGGAGGUCACUGCUAUCGGUGUUCGACUAAGCCAUGCGAGUCAAAUGUUCUUCGUGAACAUGGCGUACUGCUCAGUAACACGUGGAUAACCUGCCCUUAGGUCUGGCAUAACCCCGGGAAACUGGGGAUAAUUCCGGAUAGAUUAUAGAUGCUGGAAUGCCCUGUAAUCCAAAGCUUUUGUGCCUAAGGAUGGGUCUGCGGUCUAUCAGGUUGUAGUGGGUGUAAUGUACCUACUAGCCUACGACGGAUACGGGUUGUGGGAGCAAGAGCCCGGAGAUGGAUUCUGAGACAUGAAUCCAGGCCCUACGGGGCGCAGCAGGCGCGAAAACUUUACAAUGCGGGAAACCGCGAUAAGGGGACACCGAGUGCCAGCAUCCUAUGUUGGCUGUCCAUAUGUAUAAAUCACAUGUGUUAGCAAGGGCCGGGCAAGACCGGUGCCAGCCGCCGCGGUAACACCGGCGGCCCGAGUGGUGGCCACUAUUAUUGGGUCUAAAGGGUCCGUAGCCGGUUUGGUCAGUCUUCCGGGAAAUCUGACGGCUCAACCGUUAGGCUUUCGGGGGAUACUACCAGGCUUGGGACCGGGAGAGGUAAGAGGUACUACGGGGGUAGGAGUGAAGUCCUGUAAUCCCUGUGGGACCACCAGUGGCGAAGGCGUCUUACCAGAACGGGUCCGACGGUGAGGGACGAAAGCUGGGGGCACGAACCGGAUUAGAUACCCGGGUAGUCCCAGCUGUAAACUAUGCUCGCUAGGUGUCAGGGACGGUGCGACCGUUUCUGGUGCCGCAGGAAAGCCG
This 810-nucleotide ribosomal RNA is filed under the name uncultured archaeon. RNAcentral's name for it is "bacterial SSU rRNA". It matches the Rfam family "Archaeal small subunit ribosomal RNA", at positions 1 to 814 of the family's 1478-position model. The record is from RNAcentral.